CUCCCAUCGAACGGGAGCUGGGGCUGCCUCACUGAACGUCGCUGUUGUAUAGGACACAAUCAAAAUGCCCCUGGAUCACUCGUGGCAUGUAGACAUUGCCCGCUCGCGACUGGGUAUGACCGCAGCGCCUGGAGAAUGCUCGCUUGUGACUAGUCACGACUGCCACACCUGGAUGAUGAUAUUGCCUCACUCCUAUCAGCUUGACUAAACGAACAAAUUAGGGAGUACCAAGGCCAAACAUUUGGUCCUUCAGGUACAUCUUCUGUUAUUUUGUCAGUCAUGUGAUCAUGGGGACUCUCAUCUCAAUUUCGUUUUGGUUGUCCAUCAACACGCACCAGCAAAGCUUUACUUAGGUGGCAGUACAAUAUAAUAUGGUAUGAAUGAUUGGCGAAUAAAUGCUGCAUCUGUUCUUCUUGUGCUGAUUCAGGAAUGCAAUCAAGGCAGGUGAAAGGCCUAUGACUACUAAGAAGGAACACAUACUGCAAAAUGAAUCAGAUGCGUGUAAUCAGAAGUUUCUCGACCGACCAAUCAUGAUUCAUGGGAAUUGACAUUUAUCCGUAGUGAAGUACACACAUUGUAUUUAACACAAUUGAUCUCGUGGUACUAAAAUUUUAUGCCCAAUAUAUGCAAGGUCCCCCGCAAGGGCACGAGUAGCAUUAAACACGAAAGGUAGGCGUCAAAGCUUGUGAAGAAAUGAAGCACUUCCAAGUUGUUGGCCGACGAUGAUGAUGAGAUUGACAACCACACGACGAGCUCGCCGAGUGCAUCCUCUAAAGGAAACAAUAGCACAUAUUUCCGAGAGGAGUCCGAAGGAGAAUUGAAUAAAUGGAUGAUGAAGCCGGUGUUCACAAUCUUGAUGUAUGCCAUUCUUUCUAGGAUCUGAUCUUUUUGUACAUAAAAACGCAUAGUCAAAUAAAAUUUACAACAUCGCUUUUCCAAAAAAAAAGUUUUGAUGUGUCUUAUUUUAGGUCAGCAUCAAGUGCAGUUUUUUAAUUUUGAUUCUGAUGCUUGGAUUGAGGAGAUGGACAGACGACGAUAAUCAGUGCAGGAAGAAGACUGAUGUAAUGGCAAUGUUGACAAUACCAUCUGAUGUCCAUGUGGAUAUGACCAAUGCCACUAGAAUUAGCUCCUCCUCCCCCGUUGUAACGCACGGGCAAUUACCUAGUGCUUAAAAAAAAGCAUGGA
Molecule: long non-coding RNA, 1185 nt
Organism: Triticum dicoccoides
Lineage: Eukaryota; Viridiplantae; Streptophyta; Magnoliopsida; Poales; Poaceae
Exons: 5
Source: RefSeq, a predicted model, not a curated record